Molecule: long non-coding RNA, 860 nt
Filed under: Dermacentor andersoni
Lineage: Eukaryota; Metazoa; Arthropoda; Arachnida; Ixodida; Ixodidae
Description: uncharacterized LOC126531708
Source: RNAcentral
GCAAAUACGUAGUUAUCAUAUACUGUCUGUUGACAUGAACUUUAUAGUAUAUUGCAACUACUCAUGUUGCAGGUCCGAAGAAGAUAUUCAUCGGAGGCACAUGUCCCGACGAGGUUCCCCCAUCAUACGUUCAUGAACAUUUUUCUGAGAUAGCCUGUCCUCACAAUGAUAUUCAAAAAUUAGCAUCAAUGAGUGCCUCACAAAAAGAUGAAAUCAGGGUGCUUUCAAUCAGUAAAGAAACAGUUUUGCGAAAUUCUCACCUGUCAAGUCUACAAAAAAUGAUAUCAUGGGAGGCAGACAUGCCUGUGUACAAUGUAAUGGCAGCAACCUCUCAGACACCUACAGUGCUGACCAUCUCACGAUGCCAACUAACCGCGCGAAUGACUAUAGAAGAAAGCAAGUUUUUUUUUUCUAAAGUGCUGUGCUCACGGGAGGAUGCCGAGGAGAUUGCUGCAGGUACAGUCCUGCAGGCUGGCUGCAAAAGGUGGCACAAUGAACGCGCGAUCCGGCUGUCAAGUUCAAUCGCCCAUGCAGUUGUCGCCAGACGGCUACCAUUGGACUCUCUUGGCGAACAAAUUAAACGCAGGAAGCCCUUCUUUGGGAAGGCCGUUAUGCACGGGCGAAAGACGGAAGCUGUAGCCAGGGAACAGUUCGAGCAGAAAAUAGGAGGGCCUGUUUUGCAGGUAUGUGGUGAGCUGCAUGAAGGUCUGAAAUGGUGGAAAAAUUUGCAUGAAAGUUGCAAUGACCACAGCAGAUUUUCAGUUGGGUACAUAUUUAUGCUGCAACACUCCGAAGUGCUAUAUCACAAAGGAGCUUUUCUUCUGCUUGAAAGUCGGCAACUGCAUGAAAGCUAAACUCAU